AUGAAUUGCAGGGUGUUUAUUACUGUGGAAAAGAUGGGCAUCACCCCUGAAGCAGACACAGAGAAUCAGGUGACACGAAGACAAAGCCAGCUGGAUCACUGCAAGAAGUGUCCUCAGGUGACCCAGGCUCUUCCACGAGAAAACAAGAAUGUCCUCACUGCUGCAAACAACAGAAGGCUGCAAAAUGCACAAGAUCCCAGGAGCACACAGUUCCAGCGGCUUCUGAGAACAUGCACAAAGCCAACUCUGGGGAUUCCAAGUUGACAUCUGGUUUUUUUCCUGGUACCAGGAAUCGAACUCACGACCUCACGCUUGCCAGGCAGGCGCUGUGCCACUGAGCUAAAUCCCCAGCCCCCCCCAAGUUGACAUCUGUGACCUUUUCUUCUUUGUGUUUGCAUUUUUUAAAAGAAGUGUCACUAUUUUCAUUAAACAAGUGUCUUGCCUGUUGCACUUCAUGAAGUUUCAUUGUUGUAUGAGCAAAAGAACAGCACCCCCAAGAUCGUGGACAUGGAAUUCUUAUCGAGUCACUGAGAAAUGAAAGGGUGAAUCAGGGAGAAGUGGCAGGAAGGCAGCUGUCACAAAUGCCAGUGACAGCAUCACAACAUGGUUACGGGGUGAGCCAAGCUGGGGCUCUGGCGUGCUCCACUGCAGACGUCAGAUUUGUGUCAGGCAACUUGAAGCAGUGUGAUAGUAUUUCUCUUGUGUCUGUCUCCUGAUUUUUAUUAGCUCUACGGACUGUGUCUGUGGAAGGAGAGAGAGACCCUGGGGUGGCACGGUUUUUGUCCCACUAAAUGUGCUCAGACUUCAGUAGCAGCAGCAACAAUCCCGAUUUCAAACCCUGCCUAUAGCUCCUCUCAUACUCUCACUGAAGAUAAUAAAUCUAUCUCAGAAGGUUGUUAUGAGAAGAAUACAAAGAACUGUAUUCAAAGUACUUGGGGUUUGCUUUUUUCUCCCCUCUUCUUUUUUUUUUUUUUUUCCUUUUUGGCAAAGAAAGUGAUUAAGGUAAUAGGUUUUAAAAAAUAAAAUCAUUUUUGGUACCAUUUAAA
RNAcentral lists this long non-coding RNA (1046 nucleotides) under Chinchilla lanigera (long-tailed chinchilla). Its description in RNAcentral is "lncRNA (ENSCLAG00000028536.1)". The record is from RNAcentral. Lineage: Eukaryota; Metazoa; Chordata; Mammalia; Rodentia; Chinchillidae.